Molecule: ribosomal RNA, 300 nt
Filed under: uncultured Salisaeta sp.
Lineage: Bacteria; Pseudomonadati; Rhodothermota; Rhodothermia; Rhodothermales; Salisaetaceae
Description: bacterial SSU rRNA
Rfam family: Bacterial small subunit ribosomal RNA
Source: RNAcentral
GCUAACUCCGUGCCAGCAGCCGCGGUAAUACGGAGGGUGCAAGCGUUGUCCGGAAUCACUGGGUGUAAAGGGUGUGCAGGUGGGGCAGCAAGUCAGGGGUGAAAGCCCGCGGCUUAACCGCGGAAUUGCCUUUGAUACUGUUGUUCUUGAGUCCUGGAGAGGUCACUGGAAUUCGUGGUGUAGCGGUGAAAUGCGUAGAUAUCACGAGGAACACCAGAGGUGUAGACGGGUGACUGGACAGGUACUGACACUGAGGCACGAAAGCGUGGGGAGCAAACAGGAUUAGAUACCCCAGUAGUC